RNAcentral lists this ribosomal RNA (392 nucleotides) under uncultured beta proteobacterium. RNAcentral describes it as "bacterial SSU rRNA". It matches the Rfam family "Bacterial small subunit ribosomal RNA", at positions 213 to 597 of the family's 1533-position model. The record is from RNAcentral. Lineage: Bacteria; Pseudomonadati; Pseudomonadota; Betaproteobacteria.
UCAUGCUCGUGGAGCGGCCGAUAUCUGAUUAGCUAGUUGGUAGGGUAAAAGCCUACCAAGGCAUCGAUCAGUAGCUGGUCUGAGAGGACGACCAGCCACACUGGAACUGAGACACGGUCCAGACUCCUACGGGAGGCAGCAGUGGGGAAUUUUGGACAAUGGGCGAAAGCCUGAUCCAGCAAUGCCGCGUGAGUGAAGAAGGCCUUCGGGUUGUAAAGCUCUUUUGUCAGGGAAGAAACGGUGGUUUCUAAUACAGAUCACUAAUGACGGUACCUGAAGAAUAAGCACCGGCUAACUACGUGCCAGCAGCCGCGGUAAUACGUAGGGUGCAAGCGUUAAUCGGAAUUACUGGGCGUAAAGCGUGCGCAGGCGGUUCCGCAAGUCAGAUGUGA